UUGAAUUCGCAAAUGAGUUCUUGCCUGUAUUGGAGAAGGCCCUCAUAAUUGAUUACAAACCGACUUCUGUCAAUUAAUGGUGGACUAUGGAGAACCUGGGGGAGCUUUUCUCAAUUCUCAUCAUCAAUAUCCUUGUACUGUUUCUCAGAGAAUUCCAUUUGAUUCUACAAUAUACACUUUGUGUUGAAUAAGUCGGUUCUGCUUGGUUUCCUUGUUGAGAAUAAAUUGAGUUUCCUGUAACUGCAGUUGUAAUAACUUUGAACUUUUUUUUGUUCGUAUCAGAAUUACGUUUCCAAAGACUCCUAUACUGUCUGCUAUCUGUGCAUAUAAGCUCCAGUAGAAGCUGCGAGUGCGUAUUUUUCCUUUUAACCUUUUGAGCAUCAUGAUUGUGAUCAAUUGCGGUCUAAAAUUUAUGAUCCUAUUAUAUAUCUAUGUGCAUUACCUAUUACUUGUCUAGUUGUCUAAUAAAGCGUCUAACAUGGUAUUCCCAGAUGCAUUUUCCGUUCGCUGCUUGGAAGCUGCUGGACGAGAAAUUAACAUGUUUAUGUGACCAUGUCCUUCAGGAAAACACAAACUCAACGAUCUCUGUUUUCUGCAGAUUUACUGUACUGCUGAAACCAAUCGCUCUUAUCCUACUUUAGCAUGUUUUACGUGGUCUGUGGACUGUGGUAAUACCAACCGUGCCAUGCGUAUGAAUUUGGGCUUGACACUUGACAUGAACCAUAUAUUUUGUUCUUUUCGACAGCUUAAAACACUUACACGUUUAAACACCGAAAGCUGAACUUCUAAUGUUUGCUUGUUUGAGCUGCAACUUUUGGACUUUUCUGUAAAGCCGGUGCUACUUUUUUUUUAUGAAAGGCCAACCAUAACUUUUAGAAUAUGCGUUUAGGUUUUUGUACCAAAAAGCUACGAAAAGCUCAGAAAAUUGAGCUUUUCAGCUUUCAAUAUAAACUCAGGUUUUCUAAACUUCUAACUUUUUGAAAGCUGCAUGAGAAGUUUCUUGUUUGUUUGAGUUUCUAGCUUUUGACACUGAGAAGUUGUCAGGAAGCACAAACAAAUAAGGUCUAAAAAUCAUAAUACACUGCUUCAGAUGUGAGCUACCAAGAAUCUCUGCAUUAUGAAACCUGGUGACGACAAUAGCAUAUUGUUGAAUUAGUACGAGUGAGCACUUCCACAGUUCGUUCUAAAGAAAAGCACUUCCACAGUUCCAAGCAUGUCCUGAGCUGACGAAUUCACCUACCUCGGCAUGGAAUGGCCCGUAGACUUUCACUCGAGUAAUAAUUUUUUUUAAAAGGGGAGAGCUUAUACUAAAUUAACAAAACAUGUUUACAAUCAAAAUCUAAAACUGCCGACGCGCAGGCCAAGACACCUUAAGAAACAAAAUCAGAUGAGAGCUCUCUCCUACCAAGCUGUCCUAGUUCAUGAGCCACUCCAUUUGCACUUCGAUCGCACUUUAAAACUUUGAAACACUGGAACAUUCUCAGCAUUUUUUUACUUCUUCAAUGAUGAUGGAGCUAGGGGAUCGAUUUAGAGUACCGUCAUUGAACGCUUGUACUGUGAGGCAGUCCAGCUCCAGCCAAAUAGGUCCCAUGAAAACAGAGCAGGCUCUGUUGAUGCCUAUCAAGGCUGCAAGACAUUCAACUUCUUCAGCCGAAGAGCAUAAGCGAUCGCCGCACCAACCUGAAAAGGCAACUUCACCCAAGUGAUUCCUAGCAAUAAAACCUAGACCAGGAUGUUGUGUGUUAGGAUCAAAGCCAGCAUGUCGUGUGCAGGAAUCCGCCGCCAGGCGGUGGUGCCCAUGCCAUGAGCAGGCCAGCAACUUCGAAGGAAACAUGCUGCAAAGCCAAAGGAAUAUGUAUCUCGGCAUAUGUGGCAGUCGGCCCGCGAAACAUUGCGAACCAUGAAAACCGUUCAACCCGGCGGUUCCGAACCGCCUAGCUGGCUCCCUCAUGGUUUGGUUGGGUUUUAACCAAUAACCGGUGAAACCGGACCAUGUACAGGGCUUACCUUUGGGUUUCUCGCGGCCGGCGUUAGGUAGGCGGCCGUCCUACUCGCCACUGAAUAUGAUUGUCUAGAAACUAUUUUAUUAAAAGAAAAAUAUAUGAGAUGCAAUAAUUACUUAAGUAGAAGCAAGUACUACCCAUAUUUGAUGUUGGGUAGUUCAAAAAUAAACUAAGCAAUGUGUGCGUUCGGAGUCAAACGACCUGUUCAGCUGGACUUAUAAGCCGGCUGAAAAGCUGAAACGGCUGAUUUGUUGUGAGAGAAAAACACUGUUCGGUGGCUGAUAAGCCGGCUGAUAGGUUGAAGCGAACAGGCUUAAAGAAUUUUAUCAAACGUCUUCACCUUGGUAUUACUAAAAUCCUCCCCCCAUCUUUAAAUAUAAGAUGUUAGUAAUUGUCCUUAACAUCAUAUAACGGAGGGAGGAGGGAGGUAGUCUGUGCGAUGGACCACCCGAUCCGACCCGCACAAGUUCAGGCUGGAACCGGAUCCGGCCAGUUCGCUGCAGGUCAACUCACGAUGAUCCUAGAAUCGUCCACCUCGUGAUCGGCGAAUCCGCUGUCUACGCGCUAAACUGCCCGGGAGUAACGAUCCGGUCACCAAAUCAUCUCAGCUCGAGCAAUUCGCUCUCACCACGUAUAAAGCAGUGGCCAAGAAGCCAAGCCAAGCAGCAGCAGAGCAUCCUACCUACCACGACCAAACAGAGGAGGUGAGGGGCCUCGAGCGAAGAAGCCCGGAGGCAUGGCGGCUGGUGGCGGCGGCGGCGUGGUGAAGCACAUCCUGCUGGCGCGCUUCAAGGAGGACGUGACGCCGGAGCGAUUGGACCAGCUCAUCCGGGGCUACGACAGGCUCGUGGGCGUUGUCCCCCCCAUGAAGGCCUUCCACUGGUAAAGCGCGCUGCACCCACCUACCCACCUCCAGGACGACUUGAGAUCUCAACACGAUUCCAUUGCUGGCUGUUCACUGUUGUGUAUGCGGUAUGCCUCUGCUUCCUGUGGGCGAUUAGUAUCUACCUGUUUGGGCGCCGUCCCUGUGAGACUCCGUGAGGACUACGCACCCAAGGUGCUCGAGGAAUUGGCUGACUGCCUGGCUUAGUUUAUCUUGACUGAAACAUGAUUUGGCAUUUUGUGUUUCCCCGUGCACGAUCAGUGACUGCGAUCGAUGGCCCUGUGAUUUCUCCUAGUUCCCUGGUCCAGAUAUCCAUAGCUGAUUUAACUAAAUAAUAGCCAAACCAGCAUGUACUACUAGGUGCCUACCACCUCUAUUUCUUAUCCCAGAGCAUAUUACAACGAACAAUAUUGAUAUUUUCUAGGGAGAGAUUUACAUGUAUUCUCCAGACAACAGUCUUAUCUAUUUGUCAAAUUCAAAAAGUUUGUGCAUCUGCAAGAUCAUAUGAAAGUGAAAUUGCGAAAAAGUUAUAGUAGUAGUCUCAUUGUUUCACGCAUGAUUGCUACUCCGUUGUUUCAAGCUGUACGCUUCCUUAUGUGCACUUUGAUUUGCAGGGGAACUGAUGUGAGCAUAGAAAACAUGCAUCAAGGGUUCACGCAUGUCUUUGAGUCCACAUUCGAAAGCACAGAAGGAAUCAAGGAGUACAUUGAGCACCCUGCACAUGUUGAAUUCGCAAAUGAGUUCUUGCCUGUAUUGGAGAAGGCCCUCAUAAUUGAUUACAAACCGACUUCUGUCAAUUAAUGGUGGACUAUGGAGAACCUGGGGGAGCUUUUCUCAAUUCUCAUCAUCAAUAUCCUUGUACUGUUUCUCAGAGAAUUCCAUUUGAUUCUACAAUAUACACUUUGUGUUGAAUAAGUCGGUUCUGCUUGGUUUCCUUGUUGAGAAUAAAUUGAGUUUCCUGUAACUGCAGUUGUAAUAACUUUGAAC
Molecule: long non-coding RNA, 3873 nt
Filed under: Setaria viridis
Lineage: Eukaryota; Viridiplantae; Streptophyta; Magnoliopsida; Poales; Poaceae
Description: long non-coding RNA (SVIR_LNC005665)
Source: RNAcentral